RNAcentral lists this transfer RNA (67 nucleotides) under Haplosialis sp. Its description in RNAcentral is "tRNA-Asp". Lineage: Eukaryota; Metazoa; Arthropoda; Insecta; Megaloptera; Sialidae. The record is from RNAcentral.
AAAGAAUUAGUUAAUUUAUAACAUUAGUAUGUCAAUCUAAAAUUAUUAGUAUAACUAAUAUUCUUUG